UGCAUGUCUUGCAGAAAUAUGCAGGAACAACUUAAGUUCACCUCCAUAGGUGAACACCUCUAGCCAGCGAUAUGCCUCAGUAUGGAAUGCAGCAGAGCUAAGUCAAUGCCUUAAUUACAGUAAAACAAAGGACACUCCUCUUCACCUAUCUGCCUCCGCUGGUUGCAUGUACUCAUGUCUAUAAAUCAAGACUUGCUUUCAUUUAAGAAAUACACAGCAUAGUUAAGACUAAUGGUAAAUAAAGGUCAUUAAACUAGAUUGACUGGACAUUUAUGUCAAGGUAUGGCAAGUUCAUUUAUAUAAAUAAUCUUGAUUGUUUUAUAACAAGCAAAUACAAUUUCCUCCUCUGGGAGCAGGUGCGGGAGGUGGUUUUAUUUGGUUGUUUGGAUUCUGAAAGUAACAUUCUGAAUAUGGGUGGGGAAAACGAGGAGAAAAUUAAAGUUGUCAUACUACAAAGUGCUUUCUGUAUCUGGGCAAUGCAAUCUUCAUUUCAUCAAAGGCUAAAACCGAAAUCCUGUCACUUGAAAGCUAAGGGAUUUGCCGACUGAGGUGGGAGUCUGCAGUUAGAACCUCAGCACUAAACACACAUAGCUGUUUACCUUGCUGGUGCCCUUGGAUCUGCGAUAUCCCCUGGAGAGCUUUAGAAAGAACCAACAAACAUCUAAGAACUAUUGAGUCAAGUCUUACCUUCCUUGGUUUCACUGCAAUCAUACUGGGACCUCCAGAGAUGCCAGUUAGAACCUUUGUUGGCCAUUGAUCAAAGGAGCAACUGUGCUGAAUCGAAACCUAGGAUGUCUUUUCCUUGGGAUAUGUGUGAGUCAUACUGACAAUGCCUAGAGAGUUUUAAAUAACCUCAUUAAACCUCGUUUCACCUUCUUUGCUACCAGUUAUUGCUGCUAACUGCCACUUCCAUGGAUGUUUAUAGCCUCUCUGCACAGUACAAAACAUUUAAUGUGAAAGAAAUAACAUGCAGGCAAAUGACCCUGCAACCACUCCAAAAGGGAAAGACUUCAGGACCUCCUCGUGCCUGAGGAAGAAGCAAGAAUGGGUAUAUCUGAUAUUUUUCCCUCUCACAAAGCAGCUCAGGCCCUGUAUUGCUCUGUACUUUUGGAUGUAAUACACUUGUGUCACAUUGCUCUCAUGUGUGACUGUCUUCAGAUCUGAAAUCAUCUCUUCCUCCAGGUGGAACAUGCUUUUCUCCGUAGAAAGAUCUCAGUAUAGGGGCAGAAACUGACUGAAUCAUGGUCUGUAUUGCAUUUUCUUCUCCUUGGUCUGAGAGAAAUUGGACAGAAAUGAGUGUUAUGUUCCAACAGUCUCUCUUUAUGUUCAUUGUCCUGGGAUAUGAUGUGGGCAAAGUAACAUUCUGAUCUGCAGUUGUUGAAACAUGACAGCUGGUGCACAGUGUUCUUUCUUUGAUUAAGAAAGGCUUAAACAAAACUUGCGGGACAUCCAGACAGCUCUCCUUCACAGGCUAUGGUGUGAUACAAGAUGUUUCACUGAAGAAAAUGGAACUACUCUGAGAUCAGAAUCAGGUCCAAGGUGAAAGAACAAUGAGUUCUUCUCAACAAUUCUUCGUCAGGUCCAUAUGGAAAGUAGUUAUGCUGCAGAGCAGCGUCAAAACAGCUUAUUAGUUAUAUCCUUCUUCCCUUCUGAGGCAGUUUAAAGGUUUAUGCUGCAUUUGUAGCAUAAGUUUCCGUAAGAAACACAUUCUGUUUGCAGCACAUCAGACUUGUGAAUCCCAAAUUCAUAAUACCAGCUAGUGAAUUCUAGAUGCUGUCUUGGAAACAAUAGUUUUGAGACCUUGUACUUGGAUCUUCCUCAGCCCACCUUCCAGAUCAUGUCCAUAAAACCUCUCCCAUGAUACCCUUCUUGCUGUCAGUUCAUUUUCAUCACAUUAGUGGUCAUCCUCCCGUUGAACUGAGAAAGAAGAAUAGGAAGAAUGUAUUCACCAAUUCUAAUCCAUGCUGAACACAUUUUCAUACGCUUAGGCAUCUUGAAGUCGGUAGGAACAUUUGCAUCAAAGUGUUUGCUGCAGAUGCACUAACUCUUUCCCUGAGAGCAAGCUGAAGAGGUGGGAAGGUGCUCCAGCUCAUCGUGGAUAUCCUCCUACUGAUUUGCUUGGGAACAAACCUGGAUCCUAAUUCCAAAGAAUGUGUGGAUCAAGUUCCAUACACAUGAUGUAAGCAGGCCUCAAACAAGAUUCUCAUCUACACAUGGAACAGAAAUCAUGUGCAAAGAAAACAGAAAUGA
RNAcentral lists this long non-coding RNA (2250 nucleotides) under Gallus gallus (chicken). Its description in RNAcentral is "long non-coding RNA NONGGAT011779". Lineage: Eukaryota; Metazoa; Chordata; Aves; Galliformes; Phasianidae. The record is from RNAcentral.